UUGACAGGAAAGGGUGUCCAGGCACAGGGCCAAGUUUCCAAGAAGUCAACAGGGUAAUGUAGAUACACGUCAGCAAAGAUAAUUAGGUAGCUUAGAAUGAGAUCUUUGUCUGAGAUGGGAAUUGCAGCUGCUGAUGAACAAGAGGGAGCAAUCCAGGAAGCUGCCGUCUGGGUGCUGCCUUUCCCCGGAGUGCGGCCGCACGCGGAAGCCGGUGAGAUUCCAGGACAAAGAGGGACGGCCCAGGGCACGGACUUGGAUGCUCCCCGUGUCUGACGAUGACGAUGAUUGGAACGUGCCUUUUAAAAAACCCCCAAGUAAUGUAGAGACUGGGGCUCUGACCUUCACCGUUUGGGUGGCCUGGGGCACGUGGUGUCUUUGAGCCUCACGUUCCUCAUCUGCUGAAGAGGGUAACACCGCUCUGCAGGUGGGUGGUAAGGGCUACAGUGGACAGCGUAUGUGAAGUAUGUGCAUAGUGUUUGGCACAGAAGAAGAGCUUAACAACCGUUGGGUGUUCCACUGAGCAGGGCUCGGAAGACCAGAGCAAAGCGCUCUCGGAGUCCGGAGCUGAUCGUUGCAACACUUGAAGGCAAGUAGCAGCACUCCCUGUGGGUAUUAUAAGCCCUUGACUGAAAGAGAUGCAAAUAGAUAAGCUAGCCCUGAGGGUGGCCGGCUUUACAGCUCAGACCCGGAAUUUAGCCACAGUUCUACUGAAAGCCUCACAGCUUCCCUAGAUCGCGGGGAGUCACACCGCGGCUCUAGGGGACACGGGCUUGGAAAUCAGUCGUCUCUCCCGCUGGAACUAUUAGGAUCGCAGGCCAUGCACGGGCAAGUAACUGAGAGAGACCCAGAGGAAUCCAGGCCUUCCUGGGAGAGGAUUUCUUGGACCUGGAAUCACUGUGACAACAGCAACCCCAGGAAGAGUUGGAAAGGGAUUUCAAUGCAGGUCCCUAGCAGGAGCGAGGACAGGCGGUGCGGUGCAGUUACCCUAGGACAACCGUGAGUUCAUCAAGAAGUCGUGCACUCAGACCACGCUCAGGGCAAGACGACUGAGCAGAGCGGGGUUCGGGGCGUCAGGGCUGCCUCUGCGACCUGGGCCUGUGUAAGGGGGACGGGGGAUAAAACGCUUCACGUCUCCUCCUCCUUCCAGAUGCUUUAGAUAUUUUUCAGUGAUUGGACUCGGAUUCGCUGAAGAACUCAAAAGCCCAAGUGUCCUGGUAGCGAGGCCCUCACACUCGAGAAAGUGUGACCUCAGCUGAUCCAUGAGCUUUGGAUGUUAGAUUCCGUGCACCUUUUCUCACAGGGGCCCCCACGACC
Molecule: long non-coding RNA, 1314 nt
Organism: Camelus dromedarius (Arabian camel)
Lineage: Eukaryota; Metazoa; Chordata; Mammalia; Artiodactyla; Camelidae
Exons: 2
Source: RefSeq, a predicted model, not a curated record